UGGCUCAGUGGUAGAGCGCUUGCCUUGCAUGCAGGAGGCCUUGGGUUCAAUUCCUCA
This 57-nucleotide transfer RNA is filed under the name Dipodomys ordii (Ord's kangaroo rat). It matches the Rfam family "tRNA", at positions 8 to 63 of the family's 71-position model. From Rfam's summary of the family: Transfer RNA (tRNA) molecules are approximately 80 nucleotides in length. Their secondary structure includes four short double-helical elements and three loops (D, anti-codon, and T loops). Lineage: Eukaryota; Metazoa; Chordata; Mammalia; Rodentia; Heteromyidae. The record is from Rfam by way of RNAcentral.